UACCAGUCAGCAAACCGAUUCCCUCUGCAUUGCCGUCAAUUAGACGCCCGAACCGCAGUCAUUGAUAAUUUUUUCAGCGUCUAAAAGACAAUCACGCAGAAGAAAGAAUCGAAAAAGAGAAGGAUGAGGAAGUUCGAUCCAUGGCCGGUAUUCUUCAAGAGAGAAUGGAACCGUAACUGGCCUUUCCUCGUUGGCUUUGCCAUCACUGGCGCUCUCAUCACCAAAUUCUCUCUCAGCCUCACUGAGGAGGAUGCGAAGAAUUCUCCUUUCGUGCAAAGACACAAAAAGCACUGAUGCUAAACGAACCCUGUCUAAGAUGAGCAGCCUUCUGGUGAAUUUGGAAAUGUGCUCUCCAGGUGCCAGAUCAAUGCUUAUUAUGAAGGGCAUUUAGCUUUGUUUGAGUUCAUCUUUCUCCUCUUAUUGUUUUGCAGAGUUUUUGUUUCAGUCACUUUGUGGUUAAAUAGACUGAUGACUUUUGGGUAAAAGAAAGGCUUUGUCUAGUUGUAACGAUUUCACUGGCUACUGCUGUUAGCCGCUGCAAUGUAACACUUUUAAGUGUGAAAAUAAAUGCACCAUGUGAAAAUUAUUAUUAUUUCCACGGUUUUGUUCCA
Populus euphratica (Euphrates poplar) is the source of this 611-nucleotide long non-coding RNA. RefSeq lists it as uncharacterized. The transcript has 4 exons. The record is from RefSeq and is a predicted model, not a curated record. NCBI's taxonomy places the organism in Eukaryota, Viridiplantae, Streptophyta, Magnoliopsida, Malpighiales, Salicaceae.